UGGCUCAGGACGAACGCUGGCGGCGUGCCUAACACAUGCAAGUCGAGCGAGGAGAUUCCUCGGGAUGAUCCUAGCGGCGACGGGUGAGUAACACGUGGGCAACCUGCCUCAUAGAGAGGAAUAGCCUUCCGAAAGGGAGAUUAAUACCUCAUAACAUUGCAGUUUCGCAUGGAACAGCAAUUAAAGGAGUAAUCCGCUAUGAGAUGGGCCCGCGGCGCAUUAGCUAGUUGGUGAGGUAACGGCUCACCAAGGCGACGAUGCGUAGCCGACCUGAGAGGGUGAUCGGCCACAUUGGGACUGAGACACGGCCCAGACUCCUACGGGAGGCAGCAGUGGGGAAUAUUGCACAAUGGGGGAAACCCUGAUGCCAGCAACGCCGCGUGAGUGAUGACGGCCUUCGGGUUGUAAAGCUCUGUCUUCAGGGACGAUAAUGACGGUACCUGAGGAGGAAGCCACGGCUAACUACGUGCCAGCCGCCGC
Molecule: ribosomal RNA, 480 nt
Filed under: uncultured bacterium
Lineage: Bacteria
Description: bacterial SSU rRNA
Rfam family: Bacterial small subunit ribosomal RNA
Source: RNAcentral